GAGGGCAAGCCUCAAGAAGAAGCAACCCAAUUUAGGUGGCUUCCUGACCUUGGUCCAGGAUUGUCCUCCAGAAGCUAUCAUAAAGCAGUCCAGGGCAGCAAGUCUGUCUUAAAGAAGUGUAUACACUGACAAGUUAUGUGAGAGUACAGCGAGGUCAUCAUGGCUGGCCUGAGGAUUGGUCAGAAAAGGAGAGAUGCUAGGAGGCAAAAACAGUGGCAUUUCUCCUUCCCUUUUCCCCUUCAGCAUGGUCCAGGCAUUCAGUCCUCGCUCAAUCCUCAUGGCUGAGAUGAAACAAAGCCAGGGAGGCAGAAAGAGUGCUCCAAGAAUCAGCGCUGUCAACCUUUAACUCCUGAAGAUGCAGCUUUCUUCAGAUUCAAAAUCAUUCUGUGGGACACCUGGCCACCACUGAGGGAAACCAGUGCUGUGGUAUAUGAUACACAGCCUUGCACUCCUUAACUCUGCUGUGUGAGGUGCAAGGUGGGUGCCUGGGAGAGCCUGGGCUGGCACAGGGCUGGGCACAUAGCAAGUGGAGAUGACCUACACAAUUCGUGGGUGGGCGGGGGGCACACACCAGGGACCUGAGGAAGGCACUGGCUUCUGUAAUAUUUCCUCUGCCUCUAACAGGAAAACUUGAGUCUCUCUGUUCUUUGUUAGUAUCUGUCUUCUAUUAUAGCAAAUCCUAUAUCCAUGGCUUUAAUGGACAUUCUAAAAUUUGCUGCACUGACAGUCUUAAUAUUUCUAUUCCUCUCCCUCUCUAUACUCUUUGAAGACCUCCUGAUUGGCCCUGAGGAAGUACCAGGGGUAACAGUAUCUCUGGGUCCCUGUCCCUCAGCCCAUAGGCCACUGUGAUAAUUGUCUGCUUAGCAUUUCCAUAUUUAUUGUACCAAUGAUUGUAAUGAAGAUAUACACUGAAAGUUUGAGAUUAUAAUAAAAACAUUUUUCACAUCUGACUGAUUUUUUUCCCG
This 965-nucleotide long non-coding RNA is filed under the name Rattus norvegicus (Norway rat). RNAcentral's name for it is "long non-coding RNA NONRATT027829". Lineage: Eukaryota; Metazoa; Chordata; Mammalia; Rodentia; Muridae. The record is from RNAcentral.